GAAAUGCGAUAAGUAAUGUGAAUUGCAGAAUUCCGUGAAUCAUCGAAUCUUUUAACGCACAUUGCGCCCUCUGGCAUUCCGGGGGGCAUGCCUGUCCGAGCGUCAUUACGCACCCUCAAGCCCGGCUUGUGUGAUGGGCCCUGGCGUCUCGUUCGCGAGACGGGCCCGAAAGGCAGCGGCGGCGUCGACCCGAUGAGCCCGAGCGUAUGGGGACUUUUGUCACACGUUUGCGGUGCGGACCGGCGCCUGCUUGACUUUUCUGAUUAUCCAGGUUGACCUCGGAUCAGGUAGGGAUACCCGCUGAACUUAAGC
This 312-nucleotide unclassified non-coding RNA is filed under the name plant metagenome. Its description in RNAcentral is "partial contains 5.8S ribosomal RNA, internal transcribed spacer 2, and large subunit ribosomal RNA". The stretch from base 1 to 105 matches the Rfam family "5.8S ribosomal RNA", at positions 50 to 154 of the family's 154-position model. The record is from RNAcentral.